UUAGGAUGAAACCUUCCUGAGCGACUCGUGAGGUAAGAAAG
This 41-nucleotide ribosomal RNA is filed under the name Klossia helicina. Its description in RNAcentral is "small subunit ribosomal RNA". Lineage: Eukaryota; Apicomplexa; Adeleidae. The record is from RNAcentral.